ACUCCUACGGGAGGCAGCAGUGGGGAAUAUUGCACAAUGGGCGCAAGCCUGAUGCAGCAACGCCGCGUGAGGGAUGACGGCCUUCGGGUUGUAAACCUCUUUUAGUAGGGAAGAAGCGAAAGUGACGGUACCUGCAGAAAAAGCACCGGCUAACUACGUGCCAGCAGCCGCGGUAAUACGUAGGGUGCAAGCGUUGUCCGGAAUUAUUGGGCGUAAAGAGCUCGUAGGCGGCUUGUCGCGUCUGCUGUGAAAACCCGAGGCUCAACCUCGGGCCUGCAGUGGGUACGGGCAGGCUAGAGUGCGGUAGGGGAGAUUGGAAUUCCUGGUGUAGCGGUGGAAUGCGCAGAUAUCAGGAGGAACACCGAUGGCGAAGGCAGAUCUCUGGGCCGUAACUGACGCUGAGGAGCGAAAGCAUGGGGAGCGAACAGGAUUAGAUACCCUGGUAGUCCAUGCCGUAAACGUUGGGAACUAGAUGUAGGGCCUGUUCCACGGGUUCUGUGUCGUAGCUAACGCAUUAAGU
RNAcentral lists this ribosomal RNA (520 nucleotides) under bacterium btn 14i-3. RNAcentral describes it as "bacterial SSU rRNA". It matches the Rfam family "Bacterial small subunit ribosomal RNA", at positions 335 to 865 of the family's 1533-position model. The record is from RNAcentral.